Molecule: long non-coding RNA, 1081 nt
Organism: Monodelphis domestica (gray short-tailed opossum)
Lineage: Eukaryota; Metazoa; Chordata; Mammalia; Didelphimorphia; Didelphidae
Source: Ensembl
GCAAGUUUAGAACCAGGACCCAGAAGAAAGGGUCAAGGGAGAAUCUCUCUGGUGUCUUGCAGCUAGGAGCAUGGGGGGAACCCUUCUCUUGCUUUUGCUUUCCCUACUUCCUGCUCACCUGUCCUGUGCCCACAUGAAGCAGGAGGUCUCUGUCACAGGCAUUCAGGGUGACUCGGCUCGAAUCACCUGUCAGGUCUCUAAUGCUGUUUCCUACUGGAUACACUGGUACCGGUUUCAGGAUGGGAAGCCCCCACAGCGCCUUCUCUGCUUGUCCCGGGAAUCAGGCGAGCUGCGUUUUGAUGAGGGCUUUGGCAGUAAUAAAUUCCAUGCUUUUAAGGAUCAGUUUAAUGGUGAGAAGUUUAUCUUGUUAAUCAAAAAGCUGGAAGUGAGAGACAGUGGCAUGUAUUACUGCGCUAUCUGGGACUGGGACUACCACAGUGCACCAGGAUGCAUCUCCUCCCCACACAAAAGGCCCUGCUGGAAACAACUUGGAGCAGCUGGUGCUGAACAAAGCAGGGAAAGCCUCUGCUUCAACCCUACCCUGUCCUUACUCUCCUCAGCCUGUGCAGGACCUCAGCCAAUCUUCCCUCCAUGGAUGGGGAAAGUCCUUCAGCUAGCCCAACAUAGUCCACCACCCUCCUCUCGUCUAAACCCUUGAGAAAAUUCAUUGAGGGUGUACAAGUCCAUCCUAAAUUUCCCCGAAGCUAACUGAACACCAAGUGUUUAUGCUUGGACAACUCUCUAUGGUAAGGUUAAAGGUCACACUGUAAUAAGAAGAUUGGCCAGUGGAGGGAGAGUCCUUGGAGCAAGCUUAGAUUUGCCCCCUCUCAUGGAUUACAUGAGGAAUGCCAAAGGAGCUAAAUUCUGAAUGGAGCUUACACACCAAAAGAUGGAUACAGUCUUCCCUUGGCUCCUUUGUCUAUUUACUUCCUGACUUUGAUGGACCCAAGAACUCCUUAGAGCUGCAAAGUGGGAGAGGAGCUGUGGAUGUCCUGAUUCCCACCCUCUUGCCACGUGUCCUUGAACACACGGCACCUCUUUUUGUAUGUGUUUCUUCUUUCCUGGUCUUGGACAAUUGGAU